GCCUGUCCAAGCUACAGAACGCAGAGGCUAAAAUGGGUGCCAGUGAUGUCCCGUGCCUUCCAGAUAUGAACAAAAGGGGACCAUGAGUUGGAUCUUCUCUCAGGGAUAAACUUGCACCAGCCAUGCUUAAGUGAGCUGGUGCUUAAUCACUUUUCCUUCAUGGACAGAGGAUCUAGACUCAUUCUUCUGUGCUUGUUUGUGUUAUUCUUUGACAGCCUGAAGGUAUUGAAAAGGAAAGGACCCAGAGUUUCCUUAUCUGUACAGAAGGUGCCAAAGCCUCCAAGCAGGGAGUUUUGGACUUGCCAAACGAUGUAGUAGAAGGGUCAGCCAGAGGCUUUUUCACUGUUGUGGGGGAUAUUCUAGGACUUGCCUUGCAGAAUCUGGUUGUUCUCCAAAUGCCCUAUGGAAGUGGAGAGCAGAAUGCUGCCCUACUAGCAUCUGAUACUUAUGUUCUGGACUAUCUGAAAUCUACUGAGCAACUGACAGAGGAAGUUCAAUCUAAGGCUUUCUUUCUCUUAUCUAAUGGUUAUCAAAGGCAAUUAUCUUUCAAAAACUCUGAUGGUUCCUAUAGUGUGUUUUGGCAGCAGAGUCAGAAAGGAAGCAUAUGACUCAGUGCUCUUACUUUUAAGACAUUGGAGAGAAUGAAAAAAUAUGUAUUCAUUGAUGAAAAUGUUCAAAAACAGACCUUAAUCUGGCUUUCAAGCCAACAGAAAACAAGCGGCUGCUUUAAGAAUGAUGGCCAGCUUUUCAACCACGCCUGGGAGGUGAGAGAGGAGAAGCACCAGGCUUUCCUUGUUCCUGGGCAUUGCCUGCCUUGCCCUGCCUCUGGCUUUCCUGAUCUGGAAUAUGAAUAUUCUUCCUGUGCAUAUGAAACCUUCUGAGGCACUGCAGUCCUGGGCCUGUGGUGGGUUGGUCAGCAGCACCAUUCCUGCUUUGUGCAUGUUUAACUACAGCCUGGAUGUGACUUCUUCUGAGUCUCUUGUCUGCCUUAUUCAGUCUCUAGUCCUUCCCGAGUCAGUCCUCUUCAGAAAUUAAACUAGAAAUAGAAGGGAGGGGAGAGAAAGGGAACCUAGAAAAGAAACUUUCAUAAAUUUGGAGACAGUCAAUGUAUAAAGGGAGGGGGCUGUGAGUGUAUGAGGAAGGAAAGUUUAUUCCUGUCCAUGAAUGGCAAGAAAGUUCUGGGGAGAAUAUCUAGUAAUUCAUAUUGUUUCAAUGAAGCAAGUUUUUCUAAGACCCUCUCAAGGAAAAAUUCAAAGGCCAAGCUUGCCCCGGGGCCAAAGUACAAAUGAGGUGAAGUAUAUCCUUGGCAAAAUCCAACCCUUUUCCUGUCCAUAUUUACGUAAAUCCCUCCCUUCCAACUUCCUUUCUUUGCAGAUACCUGUCCAUCUCCAGCCCAUUUUCUAUCUCCUUUCCCCUCCUUUUUUUCCCUGUGGUUGCUCAAAAUCUCCUAUCAUGGCAUUUUAGCAUGCUCUGAUGGCCCCUGAAAUACCCUGAGCUUUUCUUCAGCAUCCUUCCUCAUAAUCAUCACUCCUGUUCUUGAAACCCAGAAUGCAUAUCUAAUCCACACACUCUGAUAUUUAAUUUGCAUGCAAAUUGUAUUCAAAUUGCUUUGUGGUAUUUUUAAUGUAUUCCAAACUUAUUCCUUACAACAGGAGGACCCUGAUGGAGAUGAGCUCUUACUCCUUCAUAGAAAAAUCAAAAACUUUCCCACGUUCUCUUCUAAAACAUCUUCACAUCUUUCUUCUUAUUGGAUUCAUUACUGGUGAAUCAUUGCUGAUUACUGCUACAGUUUGUCUGAUCUUACCUAGUAUUUUCUCUAUAAUUAAAUAUCUGUGUGGGUGGGUGUCUGUGUGUGUUUUGAGUUGAGAGAAAUAAAAAUGCAAGGGAAAAAUCAAAGCUUACACUGCAGAGGAAUGGUGAUCCUACUUGCUGUAAUUUAGAUGUACUGACAGUCCUCGUACCUCAUGUUAGUGUCUACCAUAUGCUGUUAUUUCCAUCUUAAACACUUGGUUUCUCAGAAGUAUUUCUUUUCUGAAGAAGACAGGAGUUGUCCUUUGCUUAAAUAGAUAAAAUGGGAAGCUUCUACAAGAUCAGUAGAUCCCAGAUGCCAUUCUGAAUGCUAUUUGCAUCAGAGUCACUAGAGCACCCAUUAAAAUGCAUUUCGCUGUCGUAUUCCCAAGUUUUUUGAACCAGAAUCUCUGUGUAGACACUGGUUGAUUUAAAUACCCCAGGGGACUUUUAUGCACAGUCAGUUUGCAAACCACAUGAUUUAUAAAUGAGUUUCUCAUUUUACACUGUAAGAAUCUGAGACUUGAUUCUGGUGAUCUCCUAGGGUGCUUUUCCAGGAAUUUCCAGGAAUCUUCACGGCAACUUUCUGCUUCACCUCAUUAGAAAUUCUUUGUUGGCUUUUUUCAGAUUUAUACCAAGCGGAGACAAAUAGAGUCCUGUGAAUUCCUUAGAAUGCAUGCUUAACACCAGGCCACAUAAAUACGAUUGAAAUUAAUUGUUAUAACAACUUAAUAAUUAUGAUUUAAUUAUUGCAUAGAGUCUGAAUGAAUUCUUGCUUAGAUAGUAUGAUUAUUAACCAUCUAAUUUAAAAACUACACAUGUUCGGGUGUUUUUAUGAAUAAUGGUAUUUGUUCCAGUAUUUUUUUCAUACCUAGUUUUACUUCAAAAGAAUACUUGCUAUUUUGUGCUCUGCUGUCCCGAAUGACUCAUUGUUCCUUUGUUUUCAGGGUGGAGAUGAAGAGGACAUUUCACUCACUGCGUAUGUUGUUGGGAUGUUCUUUGAAGCUGGGCUCAAUUUCACUGUAUGGAUUCCCGUCAUUUCUGAUUUCAGGCAGCUGAAUGCACAUUCAAUAGACUGUAGAGUCAGAGUCACUUGAGAUUCUAAGACUGGAUGAAACCCCGAGAUAACAUUUAGUUUAUUACCACCCUUUAAAUUCAUGCUGUUCAAACUGUUUUUCAUUCAUAGACAGCUUUGAAAAACAGGAUUGGGUUUCUCCCUAGGGAGAAUACACAUAUGCACACAAAAAAGAGUUAUUCACACAAUUGCAGGCAUUCACAUCUCUCCUGAAGUUCAGCCAUGAAUUUCAGAUUAAGAACCACUGUUCUAAGUAAAGCCGUGGCCUAGUAUUCUGUUUCUCUCUAAACAAUAAGUGAGUAAACAUUUUCAACUUAAGUGUGGCUCACCCUAGCCACCUCCCAAUCCAUAGAUUAGAUUUCCAAAAUCUAUUCCUGAACUAAGAUGCUAGGAAUUGUCAGGGUCAUUAGUAUACCCUGAAAAUUAUCUUCACAAAUGUAAGCCUCUAUUUUAGGCACUAGAAAAAAAAAAACUCUUAGGCCUAUGAUAAAUUUGGAUGCUUUGCCGCAUAGAAGACAUUCAUAACUAAAAUAUCACUGAUCAAAUAUAAAAACUGCCAUUUUCUUACUAAAUUUCAUUGGGCCUGGCAUGGUGGUUCAUGUUUAUAAUCCAAGCACUUUGGGAGGCUGAGGUGGGUGGAUUACCUGAGGUCAGGAGUUCAAGACCAGCCUGGCCAACAUGGUGAAACCCUAUCUCUACUAAAGAUACAAAAAUUAGCUGGGCUUGGUGGUGCAUGCCUGUGAUCCCAGCUACUCAGAAGAUGGAGGCAGGAGAAUCGCUUGAACCUGGGAGGUGGAGGUUGCAGUGAGCUGAGAUCAUGCCACUGCACUCCAGCCUGGGUAACAGAGCAAGACCCUAUCUCAAAAAAAAAUUAUUGCUUAGGUACUAAUAAUGACAUUAUAAAUUUAUUUUAAUGAUAUUUUUGAAGGAUAAAAUAUAUGUGUAUAUAUAAAUGGAUUUGUAUGUAAAAUAUACUUUGAGGAUAUAUUAUAUAUAUUAUAAACAAUGAUUAGUUUAAAUGUUCAACAAGUUCAUGGAAUGUUCGGGUAUCAGUUUACAAUAUAUGAUUCUUCUUCCUGACCAACAGUUUCCUGCUCUACGAAACGCACUCUUUUGCCUUGAAGCGGCAUUGGACAGUGGUGUCACUAAUGGCUAUAAUCAUGCAAUUCUAGCUUAUGCUUUUGCCUUAGCUGGAAAAGAGAAGCAAGUGGAAUCUUUACUCCAAACCCUGGAUCAAUCUGCCCCAAAACUAAAUAAUGUCAUCUACUGGGAAAGAGAAAGGAAACCCAAGACAGAAGAAUUUCCAUCCUUUAUUCCCUGGGCACCUUCUGCUCAGACUGAGAAGAGUUGCUACGUGCUGUUGGCUGUCAUUUCCCGGAAAAUUCCUGACCUCACCUAUGCUAGUAAGAUUGUGCAGUGGCUUGCCCAACGGAUGAAUUCCCAUGGAGGCUUUUCUUCCAACCAGGCUCCGGUAGAUUGCAAACGACCUGCUUUCUUUGUGAUCCCGGCUGCAUUCGGACCCCUGUCAGACAGUAAAUCCCAAGUAAGGUACCUGCCAUCGGCAGAUCUGAGCUUUCUUCUUGGACACCUAAAACCCACAGUCCUCCACUUGGGUCCUAAGGGUCUUAGGAUCCGCGAUGGGGGUAAUAACCAGCGGGGGAAGAGGGGCUGGCUCUCAGUCCCCGCCUCGCGGGGGGUGCCUCCCCCCUCUGCGAUGGGGGUUCCAAGAGCCAGGGGGGGAAGAGGGGCUGGCUCUCAGUCACUGCCUCGUGGGGGAUGCCUCCCCCCCUGCGAUGGGGGUCCUAAGAGCCAGGGGGGUAAGAGGGACUGGCUCUCAGUCCCCGCCUCGCGGGGGGGUGCCUCAUCCCCCUGCGAUGGGGGUCCUAAGAGCCAGGAGGGGAAGAGGGGGAGAGGAUGAUACUAAUUUCAGCAUCGCCGGCUGUGUUCACCCAGCCUGUGAAAUUAUUAAUAUCCUGAAAGGGAGAGAAUGAUAUUACUCCCCAUAAUAGACAGAUACGACUCCGCAUAAUAGAGCACGAGGUGUACACCCACCCUGUGAUAUUCUUCCUCAUAUUCAGAAGCCAAGAAGUUGAUAUUACUCGUAAUAUCGCAGGACGUAUACACCCUCGUGUUAGAUGGUCCUUAAUAAUAUUCCAGGGCGGAGUGGGUGAUGUGACUACAUAUAUGGCAGAAAGUGGAAACCCCCCUGAGAUAUUGUUCCCACGGUCCUGGAGGGAAGAAAAUGAUAUUACUUUCAAUAUGACAGAAGGUGGACACGCCCCCACUGAUAUUGUUUCUAAUUGCAACGUGGGAGAGGAGGAUAUGACACGCGAUAUCGCAGGGAGUAGAAACACCCCUGUGAUACUGUUCUUAAUAUUCAGGGAGGAAGAGGAUGAUAUUACUCCCAAUACAGAUGGGUGUACGCCCUCUGUACACUGAGGGUGUACACCCGUCUGUGAAACAGUUCAUAAUCUCCAGAGGUCUCCAGAGGGGGAGAUGAUAUUACUCACAAUAUGGUAAACAGGCUGUGAGUCCACCGUGGAUCCUAAGAGCCAGGGGGGGAAGAGGGGCUGGCUCUCAGUCACCACAGCAUGGGGGGCCUUUAUGUUCAGGUUUUGCCCAAGAGUCAGCUUAUUUGCUUCUAGUACUAGCAGGGUAGAUGCUGCCAAGGCCCUCAAACAGGGGGGCCAUCCCUUAGAAACCCUGUCUAGUUGUUUAGAGACGUAGGCCACCGGCCUCAGCCAGGUCCCCACAGUUUGGGUUAAAAGUCCAGCUGCCAUCUUUUCUCCCUCUGACACAUACAAUGGGAAAGGCUUUGUCAGUUCGGGUAGCCCCAGGGCUGGGGCUGCCAGAAGUUUUUCCUUUAACUCAUGAAAGCCUUGCUGUUGUUGGCAUCCCCUUUCCAAAGCUUCCCGGUCCCUGCCCCUUUUGUGACCUCAUACAAAGGCUUGGCUAAUACUGCAAAGUUUGGAAUCCACAGUCUCCAAAACCCCACAGCUCCUAAGAAUUCUGUCACCUGCCUUCUGCCCUUAGGCUCCCGUAGAUUGCAAAGGACAUGCUUUCUUUGUGAUCCCGGGCUGCAUUCGGACCCCUGUCGGAUAGUGAAUUCCAAAUAAUGUACCUACCGUCGGCAGAUCUGAGCUUUCUUCUUGGACACCUAAUACCCACAGUCCUCCAGUGAAGGAUCCAGUGAGAUUUUCCAGGUUAACGGUCAUAACCGCCUACUGGUCCAACGUUCAGAAGUAACACAGGCACCUGGAGAAUACACAGUAGAUGUGGAAGGACACGGUUGUACAUUUAUCCAGGCCACCCUUAAGUACAAUGUUCUCCUACCUAAGAAGGCAUCUGGAUUUUCUCUUUCCUUGGAAAUAGUAAAGAACUACUCUUCGACUGCUUUUGACCUCACAGUGACCCUCAAAUACACUGGAAUUCGCAAUAAAUCCAGUAUGGUGGUUAUAGAUGUAAAAAUGCUAUCAGGAUUUACUCCAACCAUGUCAUCCAUUGAAGAGCUUGAAAACAAGGGCCAAGUGAUGAAGACUGAAGUCAAGAAUGACCAUGUUCUUUUCUACUUGGAAAAUGGUUUUGGUCGAGCAGACAGUUUCCCUUUUUCUGUUGAGCAGAGCAACCUUGUGUUCAACAUUCAGCCAGCCCCAGCCAUGGUCUACGAUUAUUACGAAAAAGGUAGGCAAGCAACAGCCAUGCCCUAAGGUUAUUGAAUGUGUUAUUUAUAUAUAACAUUCCCUGAGCUACUAAACUUUCCAAAAUCAACCUCCGUCUUCACAGAGUAAACAAUAGAUGGCAUUACUUUGUAUACUGGUUUCUUUAUCCCAUGAUGUGUCUUCUGACUGAACCCAUUUUCCAGUUACCAGAGUUUUUCAACACCAGAAUCCUUGCAAUAUAACCUGACAGGGCUCCACUUGAACUUGAAAUACAAGCCACACUAAGCUUCCAGGUCUUUUUGUUAUUGUCAUUGUUGUUCAUGCUAAGACUGACUGUUCCAAGCUACUGCUGUGGACUUUGACUUAAAAAGAGGAGUGGGGAAUAUUCUGAAAUGCUAACUUAAAAAUUUGAUAGAUUAAUUUCUAAAACAUAUACAAAGAUGUUGUAGAGACCACACAACUGUUCCCUGGAAGGUUGGUACUAUUUAUUUCUUGUUGAAUGCUGUGUGAAGUUUGUGGAGUGUUUGAAUUCUGUCUCUAUCAAUCAUUUACUAAUAGAAUAUAUUUCAUCAAGUGUCUUAAAUAUUAUUAGCAUAUUUCUGGAUGUAUAAAAUGGGAAAGUAAUUGUCUCUAUUUCAAAAUUAUUGGAAGGAUUAGAUCUAAUGUGCUUAUAUCAUCUAUUUAAUAAAAAUACAUGUUCCCUUUAUUUUUUCAGAAGAAUAUGCCCUAGCUUUUUACAACAUCGACAGUAGUUCAGUUUCCCAGUGAGACAAAGCAAUUACUGGAAGAGGUGAAGAAAUUUUAUUACGUCAUAAACCAUUGAAAACACAUCUAGUAAGAAAAUGAAAACCUGAAUAAGAUAGGACAGUAGUUGAAGAAAGAAAAGUGUCUGGUACUUCAUUAGACUUGUGUAGCUGUGUACUGCAUGAGUAAUCUGAUAAUCAUUAAGAUUAUAUUAAUUUCUUUAAAAAUAGCUUUAAAGAAUUCACAGCUAUAUAUGUACCUUUUAUAAAUCUCUCAUUUUUGUUUUGUAAGUUGACAGGUCAGUAAAAAUUUAGGCAUAUAUAUUUGUACAUAUGUGUGUGUAUGUACAUGUCUAUGUGCCUAUAUAUGCAUGAUUUUAUAUCUAAAUAUCUAUUUAUAUAUACAUACAAACGUGUUUAUUGUUUAAACGAUGUUUUAAAUCCCAGGUGGAAAAGCAUUUCUUGUAACAAACCGAUUCUUCUGUAUCAAACCUGGAAAAAAAUCAUGAACCAUCUGACAUCGUGAACAGUUUGCAGUGGGCUAUGGUUUCUUGUCAAGUCUUAUUUCCUUAUCAUCCCAUUAAAUGUUGUCAUUUUGCAUCUGA
This is a long non-coding RNA of Homo sapiens (human), 7870 nucleotides long. The record is from Ensembl. Lineage: Eukaryota; Metazoa; Chordata; Mammalia; Primates; Hominidae.